AUUAGCCAUGCAUGUCUCAGUACAUGCCGAAUUAAGGUGAAACCGCGAAUGGCUCAUUAAAUCAGUUAUGGUUCAUUAGAUCGUGGACACAUUUACUUGGAUAACUGUGGUAAUUCUAGAGCUAAUACAUGCAAACAGAAUUCCUCUCAGAGAUGGGAGGAAUGCUUUUAUUAGAUCAAAACCAAUCGGUGGCGGACGGCUCGUCCGUUCGUCCAUCGUUUGUUUUGGUGACUCUGAAUAACUUUGUGCUGAUCGCAUGGUCAUCUAGCACCGGCGACGCAUCUUUCAAAUGUCUGCCUUAUCAACUGUCGAUGGUAGGUUCUGCGCCUACCAUGGUUGUAACGGGUAACGGGGAAUCAGGGUUCGAUUCCGGAGAGGGAGCCUGAGAAACAGCUACCACAUCCAAGGAAGGCAGCAGGCGCGCAAAUUACCCACUCCCGGCACGGGGAGGUAGUGACGAAAAAUAACGAUACGGGACUCAUCCGAGGCCCCGUAAUCGGAAUGAGUACACUUUAAAUCCUUUAACGAGGACCAAUUGGAGGGCAAGUCUGGUGCCAGCAGCCGCGGUAAUUCCAGCUCCAAUAGCGUAUAUUAAAGUUGUUGCGGUUAAAAAGCUCGUAGUUGAAUCUGUGUGUCACAGUGUCGGUUCACCGCUCGCGGUGUUUAACUGGCAUUAUGUGGUACGUCCUAUCGGUGGGCUUAGCUCCUUGCGGGCGGUCCAACUAAUAUCCCAUCGCGGUGCUCUUCACUGAGUGUCGAGGUGGGCCGAUACGUUUACUUUGAAAAAAUUAGAGUGCUUAAAGCAGGCUACCUUUGCCUGAAUACUGUGUGCAUGGAAUAAUGGAAUAGGACCUCGGUUCUAUUUUGUUGGUUUUCGGAACCCCGAGGUAAUGAUUAAUAGGGACAGAUGGGGGCAUUCGUAUUGCGACGUUAGAGGUGAAAUUCUUGGAUCGUCGCAAGACGGACAGAAGCGAAAGCAUUUGCCAAAAAUGUUUUCAUUAAUCAAGAACGAAAGUUAGAGGGUU
This 1025-nucleotide ribosomal RNA is filed under the name Apis mellifera (honey bee). Its description in RNAcentral is "SSU rRNA". It matches the Rfam family "Eukaryotic small subunit ribosomal RNA", at positions 44 to 999 of the family's 1831-position model. Lineage: Eukaryota; Metazoa; Arthropoda; Insecta; Hymenoptera; Apidae. The record is from RNAcentral.